RNAcentral lists this ribosomal RNA (236 nucleotides) under uncultured bacterium. RNAcentral's name for it is "partial 16S ribosomal RNA". It matches the Rfam family "Bacterial small subunit ribosomal RNA", at positions 100 to 334 of the family's 1533-position model. The record is from RNAcentral.
CGGGACGGGUGAGUAACGCGUGGAUAACCUGCCUCACACUGGGGGAUAACAGUUAGAAAUGGCUGCUAAUACCGCAUAAGCGCACAGUACCGCAUGGUACGGUGUGAAAAACCCAGGUGGCGUGAGAUGGAUCCGCGUCUGAUUAGCCAGUUGGCGGGGUAACGGCCCACCAAAGCGACGAUCAGUAGCCGACCUGAGAGGGUGACCGGCCACAUUGGGACUGAGACACGGCCCAA